Pseudophryne corroboree (corroboree frog) is the source of this 967-nucleotide long non-coding RNA. RefSeq lists it as uncharacterized. The transcript has 5 exons. The record is from RefSeq and is a predicted model, not a curated record. NCBI's taxonomy places the organism in Eukaryota, Metazoa, Chordata, Amphibia, Anura, Myobatrachidae.
CUACAGAAGAAAUGUAUACACGUGCUGCACUGCAGUAGCCGGUGACCGGAAGUAACGUAACACCCAGGAAGCGGCGUGUGAGAAGACCGAUGCGAAUGUUACCCGCUGCCGCCGGCACCACACCAAGGCGGCCAGGGCAGCUACUCUAUUGAAUAUUGAGGUUUUUGGGUACCAGAAGGAAAAUGGUUUGCUUCAUCCAUUAGCAAAUUUGCAAGAGGAAGCAAAUGUCUUGAAACACGGAGAACAGCUGUGUGGGUGACAUUAAAAGCAAGCAUCAGGAUCCAGUGCUGCAGACUAUUUUGUCUCCGAAGCUGCCAGACUCGAUGUUUAUUGACUUCGGUGCACAGGUCAGAUACUCUAUUGAAUGUUGAGGUGUUUGGGUACCUGAAAGAAAGUGGUUUGCUUCAUCCAUUAGCAAAAUUGCAAGAGGAAGCCAAUGUCUUGAAACAUGGAAUACAGCUGUGUGGGUGACAUUAAAAGCAAGCAUCAGAAUCCAGUGCUGCAGACUAUUGUCGCCGAAGCUGCCGUACUCUGUUUAUUGACUUCGGUGCACAGGUCAGAUACUCUAUUGAAUGUUGAGGUGUUUGGGUACCUGAAAGAAAGUGGUUUGCUUCAUCCAUUAGCAAAAUUGCAAGAGGAAGCCAAUGUCUUGAAACACGGAGGACAGCUGUGUGGGUGACAUUAAAAGCGAGCAUCAGAAUCCAGUGCUGCAGACUAUUGUCGCCGAAGCUGCCGGACUCUGUUUAUUGACUUCGGUGCACAGGUCAGAUACUCUAUUGAAUGUUGAGGUGUUUGGGUACCUGAAAGAAAGUGGUUUGCUUCAUCCAUUAGCAAAAUUGCAAGAGGAAGCCAAUGUCUUGAAACACGGAGGACAGCUGUGUGGGUGACAUUAAAAGCGAGCAUCAGAAUCCAGUGCUGCAGACUAUUGUCGCCGAAGCUGCCGGACUCUGUUUAUUGACUUCGGUGC